AAAUAAAUAACCGAAAACAAUCAAUGGAGUAUUUUUCAGACAUAAGGAAGUAAUUUUCCCAAUAAAAACUUUUUGUCACUUUAAUUACCAUCAGGGACACUUUUCUUGUCUAUCUUUACAUAUUUCCCAUCAAUGCUCUUCUUCCCUGACAGCAAGCAGACAGCAAGGAAAUCCAUAUGUUUCCGAGUACAGCAAUCAAGGCAUA
RNAcentral lists this long non-coding RNA (205 nucleotides) under Setaria italica (foxtail millet). Its description in RNAcentral is "long non-coding RNA (SITA_LNC006639)". Lineage: Eukaryota; Viridiplantae; Streptophyta; Magnoliopsida; Poales; Poaceae. The record is from RNAcentral.